AGGAGAGCUAACAGGAUUCCCCUAGUAACGGCGAGUGAAGCGGGAUGAGCUCAAAUUUGAAAUCUGGCUGGUUUACUAGUCCGAGUUGUAAUUUAAAGAAGCGUUUUCGGUGGCAGCCUGGGUAUAAAUCCUUUGGAAUAGGGUAUCAUAGAGGGUGAGAAUCCCGUCUUUGACCUAGUGCAUGCUACUAUGUGAUACGUUUUCAAAGAGUCGAGUUGUUUGGGAAUGCAGCUCAAAAUGGGUGGUAAAUUUCAUCUAAAGCUAAAUAUUGGCGAGAGACCGAUAGCGAACAAGUACCGUGAGGGAAAGAUGAAAAGAACUUUGAAAAGAGAGUUAAACAGUGCGUGAAAUUGUUGAAAGGGAAACGUUUGACACCAGUCAUGUGGGUGGAAAAUCAGUCUUUUGCAUUGGGGAGUUGUAAGGGUUCGGACCGCAAGGCCGGCUUUUGCUUCAUCUUUGGUGUAAGUGAUGCACUUUUUCAUCUACAGGUCAACAUCAGUUUCUUUUGCUGGACAAAACUCCGAGAGAAGGUAGCAGCUUAGGCUGUGUUAUAGCUCUGGAGCGAUACAGUGAAGGGGACUGAGGUUUUCGCAGCGUGUGCUCUCGGGCAAGGCUGGAUGGGUGCUAUGGGAUCGUUCGGGGUACAAUGCCUGGCAUUUUGCUUCGUGUCUUUUCUAUACUCGCUCAACUCAGCUCUUCCACGCUUAGGAUGUUGACUUAAUGGUUUUAAACGACCCGUCUUGAAACACGGACCAAGGAGUCUAACAUAUAUGCAAGUGUUUGGGUGGCAAACCCAUGCGCGUAAUGAAAGUGAACGUAGGUGCGAUCCGCAAGGUGCAGCAUCGACCGAUCUUGAUAUUUUUGGAUAGAUUUGAGUAAGAGCAUAUAUGCUGGGACCCGAAAGAUGGUGAACUAUGCCUGAAUAGGGUGAAGCCAGAGGAAACUCUGGUGGAGGCUCGUAGCGAUUCUGACGUGCAAAUCGAUCGUCAAAUUUGGGUAUAGGGGCGAAAGAUAAUCGACCUCUGUCCC
RNAcentral lists this ribosomal RNA (1029 nucleotides) under Mortierella sp. RNAcentral describes it as "partial 28S ribosomal RNA". It matches the Rfam family "Eukaryotic large subunit ribosomal RNA", at positions 54 to 946 of the family's 3401-position model. The record is from RNAcentral. Lineage: Eukaryota; Fungi; Mortierellomycota; Mortierellomycetes; Mortierellales; Mortierellaceae.